AAAACAAGAAUGUGUCCCCAGUACACGAAUGCCCCACUCACACUAUCAUUUUCUAUGUUCAGUGGACCGUGAAAUUGGGGUAAACCCUCUAAUUUGGCAUUAACAUUAAAAAGAUCAUAUCAUAGGGAACAUGUAUACUAAGUUUGAAGUCGAUUGGACUUCAACUUCAUCAAAAACUACCUUGACCAAAAACUUUAACCUGAAGCGGGACAGACGGACGAAAGAAC
Molecule: long non-coding RNA, 227 nt
Filed under: Mytilus galloprovincialis (Mediterranean mussel)
Lineage: Eukaryota; Metazoa; Mollusca; Bivalvia; Mytilida; Mytilidae
Source: RNAcentral